GCGGUAACAGAUCCAGCUUGCUGGAUGCUGACGAGCGGCGGACGGGUGAUUAAUGCAUAGGAAUCUGCCCGAUAGUGGGGGAUAACCUGGGGAAACCCAGGCUAAUACCGCAUACGUCCUACGGGAGAAAGGGGGCUUCGGCUCCCGCUAUCGGAUGAGCCUAUGUCGGAUUAGCUAGUUGGUGAGGUAAAGGCUCACCAAGGCAACGAUCCGUAGCUGGUCUGAGAGGAUGAUCAGCCACAUCGGGACUGAGACACGGCCCGAACUCCUACGGGAGGCAGCAGUGGGGAAUAUUGGACAAUGGGGGCAACCCUGAUCCAGCCAUGCCGCGUGUGUGAAGAAGGCCCUCGGGUUGUAAAGCACUUUCAGCGAGGAAGAACGCCUAGUGGUUAAUACCCGCUAGGAAAGACAUCACUCGCAGAAGAAGCACCGGCUAACUCCGUGCCAGCAGCCGCGGUAGAUACGGAGGGUGCAAGCGUUAAUCGGAAUUACUGGGCGUAAAGCGCGCGUAGGUGGCUUGAUAAGCCGGUUGUGAAAGCCCCGGGCUCAACCUGGGAACGGCAUCCGGAACUGUCGAGCUAGGAGUGCAGGAGAGGAAGGUAG
This 603-nucleotide ribosomal RNA is filed under the name Vreelandella aquamarina. Its description in RNAcentral is "bacterial SSU rRNA". It matches the Rfam family "Bacterial small subunit ribosomal RNA", at positions 66 to 664 of the family's 1533-position model. Lineage: Bacteria; Pseudomonadati; Pseudomonadota; Gammaproteobacteria; Oceanospirillales; Halomonadaceae. The record is from RNAcentral.